Molecule: long non-coding RNA, 1301 nt
Organism: Arachis stenosperma
Lineage: Eukaryota; Viridiplantae; Streptophyta; Magnoliopsida; Fabales; Fabaceae
Exons: 4
Source: RefSeq, a predicted model, not a curated record
UAUCCACUCACCUUUACCCCUCACCCCCACCCAUGGUUUGAAAGAAAGAAAGAAAGGAAGGAAGGAAGAAAGGAAGAAAGGAAGAAAAGAGAAAGAGAGGGAGCAGGGAGAAGAGAGGGAGGUGACGGCACCGACGGGGUUGCAUAUCGCCGUCGCUGUUGUCAGAACAGAGAAGGAGAGGGAGGAGACGUUGAGAGAGAGAGGAAUGUUGUCUAGCCAAAUGCAAGAGAGAGAGGGGGCCACCGCAAUCCACGCUGCCGGUGGAGGGAUCGUCGCACAUCACUCUGCCGUCAAGAUCGCCGCCGUCAUCGUCCAGUGUCGCCGUCACGUCGCCAUUGAAGAAGAGAGGGAGAAGAGAACAUAGGCUAGUGGCCCAGGGGGAGGAGUUACCGCCGUUCGUACCUUCCUCGCCGUUGCUCCCUUGCCGUAGCCACUGUUUGUGUAGUGACCGGAGGGAGCCGUGGCUGUUCGUGCCACCGUCGGAGCUGCUGCUCCAUUCCGUCGCUGUCUUUGUGCUCAGGAAUGUUUGUUCCCUCUUCCUUUGACCCCUUCACCCAACAAUGUACCGAAUUCCUAAGCUAAAAAGCAAAUUGAGCUUUAGGGUUUUAUUAAGGUGUAAUCUGAUAAUUUUAAAUCUGAUAGCUUUAAAGCCUUCAAAGCCCUCAAAGCCUUGCUCUACCACUCUUCGCCCGUUGUCAUCGCCAGAUUUGUGAUCUGGUUGCUGAUGCUAGGUUUUUAAAUGCAACUCUCAUAAUUCCGGAAAUCCAAGAAAGUACUCGCUCAAAAGGAAUUAGCUCUAAGUUCAAUAGCUUUUCCUAUAUCUACAAUGUUGAUUAGUUCAUAGCCUAAAGCAAUCUAAGUUCUGCCAGAAGGUCUGAUGGAAAGGAGAAGAAAAAAUGAAAUUCCUUCAUUUAAGACUACAAGUUCUGCUUCUCCAGACUUUUACCUGGAUCAAAUUUUACCAAAGCUAAAGCAAUUAAAGGUUAUCGGAUUAAUUAUUACAAAUGGUGCGGCUCUGCAGUCUAUUCUCCCUCCUGACAUGGAAGAUAGUCAGAGGCUAUGAUGCAGGGUUGCUUUUCACUGGAAAUCAUUGGAUAUGCUAAACACAGUGAGGAUGCCAAAUUUUGUUUUGAGGCUAAUUUAGAGAUGUGCUGAACAAAGUGGGGAUGAUAUGAAGAAAAUAUUUUCCAUAGCAAUAUAUAUAUAUAUAAUUUAGUUAUCUAAAUGUAAUAUUUUGAUGUGUUAUGUAUUUUUUGUAAAUAGAUUUUACCCGUUAUUACAUAUAAUGAAUAAAAAUAUAU